GGGAAUCAGCGACGCUGCGUGCCCGUGUGCAACUGGAGCGCGCAGGCCAAACGGUGCGCCGUGACGAAAGCUGGAGGAGUCCCUUACCUUGACGAACGGCAGGCGGACACAUUCAAAAAAAGUGUUUGUAAGAGGAGACGUUGAGCCUCUGCAUCGCUCCUUCCGCUUUUUCUUUGGGGCCGGCGAUGUUGUUGCCGGCCGAGGCUCUGCGCUACAGCACCUAUAAGUGAACUACAGGGGGUUGUCCCGGGAAGCUUUCGAUCGCAUCGGGCCUAAGAGGGAAAAAAGGAGAACUGUUAUGCGGCCUGUAGACGCCAAGGCAUGGAAUAGCGCUAGCAUGUGCCGGGAAUCAAGACUUGCCCUGCUGGAGCCUCGAUUCUCCGCACAUGCCCGGCACUACUGGCACUUACCUUGGCAUUUCGGGCAGGGAGGUGGCACGGCGGAAUCGCGGUCCGGGAGUAGGCCGCCGCCCGCGCACAACCUCUCCGUCCGACCUUCACUGGAAAACACCUGCCCGAAGGUUAAAGAUGGCAACUGUGGCGC
This 543-nucleotide long non-coding RNA is filed under the name Androctonus crassicauda. Lineage: Eukaryota; Metazoa; Arthropoda; Arachnida; Scorpiones; Buthidae. The record is from RNAcentral.